ACUCAAAUGAAUUGACGGGGGCCCGCACAAGCGGUGGAACAUGUGGUUCAAUUCGACGCAACGCGAAGAACCUUACCUGGGCUUGAACCGCUACGGACCAGCGAUAGAAAUAUUGCCUUCCCGCAAGGGACCGUAGUAGAGGUGCUGCAUGGCUGUCGUCAGCUCGUGCCGUGAGGUGUUGGGUUAAGUCCCGCAACGAGCGCAACCCUUACUCGUAGUUGCUACCCGCAAGGGAGAACUCUACGAGGACUGCUCCGGAUAACGGAGAGGAAGGUGGGGAUGACGUCAAGUCAGCACGGCCUUUAUGUCCAGGGCUACACACGUGUUACAAUGCAUGGUACAGACUGUUGCGAACCCGCGAGGGGGAGCUAAUCGGCCAAAGCCAUGCUCAGUUCGGAUUGCAGUCUGCAACUCGACUGCAUGAAGCUGGAAUCGCUAGUAAUGGCGUAUCAGAUCGACGCCGUGAAUACGUUCCCGGGCCUUGCACACACCGCCCGU
Molecule: ribosomal RNA, 498 nt
Filed under: uncultured bacterium
Lineage: Bacteria
Description: partial 16S ribosomal RNA
Rfam family: Bacterial small subunit ribosomal RNA
Source: RNAcentral